Molecule: transfer RNA, 68 nt
Filed under: Gammaproteobacteria bacterium
Lineage: Bacteria; Pseudomonadati; Pseudomonadota; Gammaproteobacteria
Description: tRNA-Lys
Rfam family: tRNA
About the family: Transfer RNA (tRNA) molecules are approximately 80 nucleotides in length. Their secondary structure includes four short double-helical elements and three loops (D, anti-codon, and T loops). Further hydrogen bonds mediate the characteristic L-shaped molecular structure. tRNAs have two regions of fundamental functional importance: the anti-codon, which is responsible for specific mRNA codon recognition, and the 3' end, to which the tRNAs corresponding amino acid is attached (by aminoacyl-tRNA synthetases). tRNAs cope with the degeneracy of the genetic code in two manners: having more than one tRNA (with a specific anti-codon) for a particular amino acid; and 'wobble' base-pairing, i.e. permitting non-standard base-pairing at the 3rd anti-codon position.
Source: RNAcentral
GGCCCCUCGAUCUAGAGCAUCUGACUUUUAAUCAGGUGGUCGCAGGUUCGAUCCCUGCACGGCCACCA